GAAAAGUCAGUAGAGAAGGUAGGCAGUGCUUGCAAAGGCCUGAGCACUGCAAGAAUGGACUAAUACGCUAUGUGAAGACAAAGGGGAUGUCUGCAAGCCAGGACGAGUGCGUCUACCAGAAACUGAGUUCUGCUGGACUUUGAUCUAGGACAUCCAGCCUCCAGAAUGGAAUGUGCCAUAUGUGGAGACCUGCAUGGAAAGGAACUGAGGAUGCUCUCUCACUAAAAGCUAGAAGGAACUGAGGCCCUCAGUCAACAGUCUACAAGACACUGAAUCUUGCCAGCAGCCAAGCAGUGAGCUUGAAAGCAGAUCUAUCAUCAGCUGAACCUUCAGAUGAGACCGCAGCCUAAGCAGAUACCUUGGUUGCAGCCAUGUGAGACAACCUGAAACAGAGGGCACAGCUAAGCCUCAGCCAGGUUCAUGACCCUCUGAGGAAACUGUGAGAAAGCAAAUGUCAUUUUAAGCUAUUUAAUUUUGGAGGUAGUUUAUUACACAACAAUAAAUAACUAUUAUAAUUAUCUUGAGGAUUUAUUUCCUGGGGAGAAUACAUGGAAUUGCAUAUAUAGGUCCUCAUAUGCAGAAUACUGGUACCCUAGAGAUGUUCACCCCAGAGAUGUUUUAGGAACCUGUGAAUAUGUUACAUUAAAUGGCAAAGUUUUCCUGGAUGGUUUAAGUUUAAGAUGGAAAAGUUUUACUGGAUUAUCCAGUGGGUCCAAUCUAGUAACAUGAGUCCUUAAAAAUGGAGAAUAUUUUUUGGCCAUGAUCAGAGAGACAUGUGAUGAUGGAAAAAGUGUCAGAGAUGCAAUGUGAGGGGACUAAAACUGCUGUUGCUGACUUUAAAGAUGGAGAGAGGGGAACCCGAGUCAAGGAAUGCAAAUGGCCUCUGGAAGCUGGAAAAAGCAAGAAAUGGAUUCUCCUUUAGAGCCUGUGGAAUAAAAUGCAGUCAUGCUGACACCUUGAUUUUACCUCAGUGAGACCAAUACUGGAGUAUGACCUUCGGAGCUGAAUAAAAUUAUACGUACACAUCUUAAUUUCUUGGGAUUUGAUUACUUCUUCUGCUUUGAAAUUAGACCAAGUUUAGCCUGCCUUUGCUAUUUUGGCGUAUCUCCA
This 1110-nucleotide long non-coding RNA is filed under the name Homo sapiens (human). RNAcentral describes it as "non-protein coding LINC01748:29". Lineage: Eukaryota; Metazoa; Chordata; Mammalia; Primates; Hominidae. The record is from RNAcentral.